CUGUCUCUGCCCCGCCCUCACGAAUGUUAAGGCUGUGUGCACCACUUUUUUUUUUGGUUUUUAACCCCUUCUUAACCUUGAACAUACAUUGAAAAUACAUACAACCAUAACUUCAAAUGCCGGACAUUCGAGGCAUUUAAGAAACUCCACCUGGACAGCUCCGAAAAGAGGACAUAUCCCGUGAAAAGAGGAGCCCCAGGCCCAAAUCCCAGUGAGACAAGUUCGCAUCAGCAAGUCUUGUUGGACAUGUUUUACUUGACAUUGUUCAGCACAAGCAGUGACAGUUGAAGGUCAAACUCCAGCGGCUGCAAGGUCAUGCAGACCACAGAGGAUGCGGCAAAGAUGUCCACAGCAAUGGACGUGCUUAAAUGGCAUCAAGAAAUGUCCAUUACAGAGGACGUGGACAAGUGUCCACCACAAUGGACGUGGCAACACUACACUUGUUAAAGUACCUGGGAGUCCACCUGGACCACAAACUGGACUGGUCAACAGAUGAAAGUGUGGCCACGGAUGAAACGCUGGCUGUCCAAAGUCGGGACCCGGGGUGGACUGCUCGUCUGUGCAUCGGUUGGGGACAUCUCUGCGCUGAUGACGUGUAACCGCUCGGGUUUGGUCUCCUGCUGGCCCCACUAUGGACUAGACACUCACAAUAUUAUGCAAGAUCCAUACAAAGGUAAGUAUGUAUUCAUUUAUUGCUGUGGUCGCCCAGGGAGGUCUCCACAUCUGCGGUCCUCUCCAAGGUUUCUCUUUGUACUAUGGGUAGAGUUUUUCUUUGCCCUGACGGGGGAUCUGAUGGUGUCGUUGUAGCUUGUCUAGUUCUUUGAGACAUAAACAUCUAAUGAUUGAUGAAUGUGUAUGUGGUUACAUACACAGUAUGUAUUUACAAUGUUUGUACGAAUACACAUAUGUAUGUAUGUAAAUGUAUGUACAUUUGAAUAUACAUACAUGUAUGUACAUACAUACAUAUAUAUACACAAACAUACAUGUAUAAAAAAUAUAUAUAUAUGUAUGUUUGUGUAUAUACAUGUAUGUGUAUGUUUAUACAUACAUACUCACAUACAUGUAUAUACAUACAUUUAUGUACAUACAUGUAUGUAUAUAUAUACAUACAUACCUUUAUGUAUAUAUAUGUAUGUAUACAUAAACAUACAUGUAUGUAUCUAUGUAUAAACAUACAUGUAUAUAAAUACAUGUAUUAUGUACAUUUAUGUAUGUACAUACAUACAUG
Long non-coding RNA from Nerophis ophidion (straightnose pipefish), 1228 nucleotides. RefSeq lists it as uncharacterized. The transcript is spliced from 4 exons. The record is from RefSeq and is a predicted model, not a curated record. NCBI's taxonomy places the organism in Eukaryota, Metazoa, Chordata, Actinopteri, Syngnathiformes, Syngnathidae.